UACAGAGGGGGCAAGCGUUGUUCGGAAUUACUGGGCGUAAAGGGCGCGUAGGUGGCCGACUAAGUCAGACGUGAAAUCCCUCAGCUCAACUGGGGAACUGCGUCUGAGACUGGCCGGCUUGAGUGCAGGAGAGGAACGCGGAAUUCCAGGUGUAGCGGUGAAAUGCGUAGAUAUCUGGAGGAACACCGGUGGCGAAGGCGGCGUUCUGGACUGCUACUGACACUGAGGAACGAAAGCCAGGGGAGCAAACGGG
This 253-nucleotide ribosomal RNA is filed under the name uncultured bacterium. RNAcentral's name for it is "partial 16S ribosomal RNA". It matches the Rfam family "Bacterial small subunit ribosomal RNA", at positions 524 to 776 of the family's 1533-position model. The record is from RNAcentral.